GUUUUUAGGCAAUUUACGGGCAUUUUUAGCAAAAGUACUAUUUCACAAAAGUUGUUCGUAUUGAAAUUUUACUCAAGAUAGGCUCAAGAAACUCUUGAUUUGGACUUCGUAGGAGAAAGUUAUGCUCAUAUUAAGUUUCUGCCCAAAUUUCAUAUUUUAUAUAGUUGAUUUAAAAACUCUACUUUUCAUAUAAUUGCUUCAUAAUGAACUUUUGAGUUACCAUAUGUACAUAUGAUUAUGUAAUGUUGAUUUUAUAUAAAGUAAGAUGAUUUCAAUUAAUUUGGUAAGGGUUUUAGUUAGACGGUUUUAGUUAGACGUUAGAACAUGAUAUGUUUGUUGGAUGUUUUAUAUGAAUUUAGGAAAGGUUGAUUGCUUUGUGAACUAAGUUAGUUGUAUCCAAGUCUUUUAUUACUUACGAAGUACAUAUAUUUAUAUUGUAGCUUUCGGUUACACUAAAGAGUCGUUUAGACCGAGAUAGUUGUUUAACUGUGAUUCGAAAAGGUACAUGAAGGUAAUGUAUAAUGAAGAAGGUUCGAUGUUGGAAGUUUGUUUAUGCUUUAUACUAUUUGUAUCGCGGCGAGGACGAUCAACUUUGUAAUAUUAUAGUUAAUAGUUAAUUUGUAAUUGAAUUAAAAAGGUUUGAGUUUGUAAA
Molecule: long non-coding RNA, 652 nt
Organism: Beta vulgaris subsp. vulgaris (sugar beet)
Lineage: Eukaryota; Viridiplantae; Streptophyta; Magnoliopsida; Caryophyllales; Amaranthaceae
Exons: 2
Source: RefSeq, a predicted model, not a curated record